UUCCCAGCACGUUGCCCCACCUCCAUCCAUCCUUGAGGCCGCCGGUCGCGCCAUGACGACGGCACGACAAAAUAUCGCUGACGAUUUCCACCACACAAAGCGCUAUGGCCGAUCUGCAGCAUGGCAUCGUUGCAGGACGGAUCCCAGCCUCAUCCGCUCCUCUAAUUUUGCCAUGUUCUUGAUCUAGGGGACCGUCGUCCCUGAGCAUGGCGUUGUUGUAGGAUAGAUCCCAGCCUUACCUGCACCUCUAAUUCUACUAUGUUCUUGAUCUAGGAGACCGUCGUCCCAGCCGCAUAGGAGUUGGAGGUGUUGUUGACUAAGUUCCUUGCAUGUACACGAGAGCAUGGGUGAUGGUGGUACUCCUUGGCACAUGGGGUAGUGGUCCUGAAGGCCAGAUGCAAGUCGUUAUGCUCAUAGUCUCACAAACAACGCAAAGCCACACAGGUACUUAUCACCCUGGAGGAGACAUUAUAUAUUUAAUUGGAUUUUUCUGCCAUGUGCCAUGUCUUGGAUUUCACAUAGAUGAACAAGAGUCAAUUCUUGAGCGAGAUGCCCAGCUGCAGGUGGUUGUUUGACCAGUUGUGAGAUGUUUCAUCAGGCACCUAAUGGAUGUUUGUGUUGUUCGCAUGUUCCACUGUAUAUCCAGGUCGUAUGGUCGAGAGCCGAGAAAGAGGCAGUAGGAUGGUUGGUCCAACCUUAUUGAGAAAAUUCUGAGCAUGUGAUCAUUGUUCAGAUUUCCCUCGCUUAACAAUUAUCACC
Molecule: long non-coding RNA, 759 nt
Organism: Triticum aestivum (bread wheat)
Lineage: Eukaryota; Viridiplantae; Streptophyta; Magnoliopsida; Poales; Poaceae
Exons: 3
Source: RefSeq, a predicted model, not a curated record